CCUACGGGAGGCAGCAGUGAGGAAUAUUGGUCAAUGGCCGAGAGGCUGAACCAGCCAAGUCGCGUGAGGGAAGACGGCCCUACGGGUUGUAAACCUCUUUUGUCGGGGAGCAAAGCGAACCACGUGUGGUUCAUUGAGAGUACCCGAAGAAAAAGCAUCGGCUAACUCCGUGCCAGCAGCCGCGGUAAUACGUAGGUGGCAAGCGUUGUCCGGAUUUACUGGGUGUAAAGGGCGUGUAGCCGGGCUGACAAGUCAGAUGUGAAAUUCCGGGGCUCAACCCCGGACCUGCAUUUGAAACUGUUGGUCUUGAGUAUCGGAGAGGCAGGCGGAAUUCCUAGUGUAGCGGUGAAAUGCGUAGAUAUUAGGAGGAACACCAGUGGCGAAGGCGGCCUGCUGGACGACAACUGACGGUGAGGCGCGAAAGCGUGGGGAGCAAACAGGAUUAGAUACCCGGGUAGUC
Molecule: ribosomal RNA, 460 nt
Filed under: uncultured bacterium
Lineage: Bacteria
Description: partial 16S ribosomal RNA
Rfam family: Bacterial small subunit ribosomal RNA
Source: RNAcentral